GACGAACGCUGGCGGCGUGCUUAACACAUGCCAGUCGAACGGAAAGGCCCUGCUUUUGUGGGGUGCUCGAGUGGCGAACGGGUGAGUAACACGUGAGUAACCUGCCCUUGACUUUGGGAUAACUUCAGGAAACUGGGGCUAAUACCGGAUAGGAGCUCCUGCUGCAUGGUGGGGGUUGGAAAGUUUCGGCGGUUGGGGAUGGACUCGCGGCUUAUCAGCUUGUUGGUGGGGUAGUGGCUUACCAAGGCUUUGACGGGUAGCCGGCCUGAGAGGGUGACCGGCCACAUUGGGACUGAGAUACGGCCAGACUCCUACGGGAGGCAGCAGUGGGGAAUAUUGCACAAUGGGCGGAAGCCUGAUGCAGCAACGCCGCGUGCGGGAUGACGGCCUUCGGGUUGUAAACCGCUUUCGCCUGUGACGAAGCGUGAGUGACGGUAAUGGGUAAAGAAGCACCGGCUAACUACGUG
RNAcentral lists this ribosomal RNA (467 nucleotides) under uncultured bacterium. RNAcentral describes it as "partial 16S ribosomal RNA". It matches the Rfam family "Bacterial small subunit ribosomal RNA", at positions 28 to 507 of the family's 1533-position model. The record is from RNAcentral.